CGCGGUAAUACGUAGGUGGCAAGCGUUAUCCGGGAAUUAUUGGGCGUAAAGCGCGCGCAGGCGGGAAUAUUAGUCUAUCUUCAAAGUGCGGAGCUCAACUCCGUGAUGGGGUAGAAACUGUAUUUCUUGAGUGCAGGAGAGGAAAGUGGAAUUCCCAGUGUAGCGGUGAAAUGCGUAGAGAUUGGGAGGAACACCAGUGGCGAAGGCGACUUUCUGGACUGUGUCUGACGCUGAGGCGCGAAAGCCAGGGGAGUGAACGGGAUUAGAUACCCCGGUAAUCCUGGCUGUAAACGAUGGGUACUAGGUGUUGGGGGUAUCGACCCCUCCAGUGCCGGAGUUAACGCAAUAAGUACCCCGCCUGGGGAGCACGAUCGCAAGGUUGAAACUCAAAGGAAUUGACGGGGGCCCGCACAAGCGGUGGAGUAUGUGGUUUAAUUCGACGCAACGCGAAGAACCUUACCAGGGCUUGACAUUGAUUGAAACACCUAGAGAUAGGUGCCUCUCUUCGGAGACAAGAAAACAGGUGGUGCAUGGCUGUCGUCAGCUCGUGUCGUGAGAUGUUGGGUUAAGUCCCGCAACGAGCGCAACCCCUAUUCUAUGUUGCCAGCACGUGAAGGUGGGAACUCAUAGGAGACUGCCGUCGACAAGACGGAGGAAGGUGGGGAUGACGUCAAGUCAUCAUGCCCCUUAUGUCCUGGGCUACACACGUACUACAAUGGGCUUAAACAAAGGGAAGCAAGACCGCGAGGUGGAGCCAAUCCCAUAAAUAAGCUCUCAGUUCGGAUUGCAGGCUGCAACUCGCCUGCAUGAAGUCGGAAUCGCUAGUAAUCGCAGGUCAGCAUACUGCGGUGAAUACGUUCCCGGGCCUUGUACACACCGCCCGUCACACCACGAAAGUCUGCAACACCCGAAGC
This 914-nucleotide ribosomal RNA is filed under the name uncultured bacterium. RNAcentral describes it as "bacterial SSU rRNA". It matches the Rfam family "Bacterial small subunit ribosomal RNA", at positions 516 to 1427 of the family's 1533-position model. The record is from RNAcentral.